AGAGUUUGAUCCUGGCUCAGGACGAACGCUGGCGGCGUGCUUAACACAUGCAAGUCGAACGAUGAACCCGCUUCGGUGGGGGAUUAGUGGCGAACGGGUGAGUAACACGUGGGCAAUCUGCCCUGCACUCUGGGACAAGCCCUGGAAACGGGGUCUAAUACCGGAUACGACCACUUGGGGCAUCUCAUGGUGGUGGAAAG
This 200-nucleotide ribosomal RNA is filed under the name uncultured bacterium. RNAcentral describes it as "partial 16S ribosomal RNA". It matches the Rfam family "Bacterial small subunit ribosomal RNA", at positions 8 to 207 of the family's 1533-position model. The record is from RNAcentral.